RNAcentral lists this ribosomal RNA (349 nucleotides) under Methles cribratellus. RNAcentral's name for it is "partial 12S ribosomal RNA". Lineage: Eukaryota; Metazoa; Arthropoda; Insecta; Coleoptera; Dytiscidae. The record is from RNAcentral.
UUUAAAGUGUAAAUUUAAGUAUCAAACUAGUAUUAGGUAUGAUCUUGAAAAUUAAAAGUUUUGGCGGUAUUUUAGUCUUUUUAGAGGAACCUGUUCUGUGAUUGAUAGUCCACGAUGAACUUUACUUGAUCUAAGUUUGUAUAUCGUCGUUUUUAAGUGUUUUAUAAGAAUAAUAAUUUUUAGAAUUUAGUAUAAUAAAAUAUUUCAGAUCAAGAUGCAGCUUAUGUUUAAGAAGAAAUGGGUUACAAUAAAGGUAUUUAAACGGAUUUUAUUAUGAAAUAGUGGAUGAAGGUGGAUUUAAAAGUAAUUAAUUUUAGGAAGAUUUAGUGAUUUAAGCUCUAGAAUGUGU